UGCAGUCGACGAUAGCUUUUGCUUUAGUGGCGAACGGGUGCGUAAUACGUGAGAAUCUGCCCUUAGGAGGAGAAUAACUUCUGGAAACGGUUGCUAAGUCUCCUUAUGCCGAGAGGUAAAAUAGUUUACACUGCCUAGGGAUGAGCUCACGCCUGAUUAGCUUGUUGGUAAGGUAAUGGCUUACCAAGGCCACGAUCAGUAGCUGGUUUGAGAGAACGAUCAGCCACAGUGGGACUGAGACACGGCCCAGACUCCUCCGGGAGGCAGCAGUGAGGAAUUUUCCGCAGUGGGCGAAAGCCUGACGGAGCAAUACCGCGUGAGGGAUGAAGGAUUUUGGUCUGUAAACCUCUUUUCUCAAGAAAGAAGUUCUGACGGUACUUGAGGAAUAAGCAUCGGCUAACUCCGUGCCAGCAGCCGCGGUAAUACGGGGGAUGCAAGCGUUAUCCGGAUUUAUUGGGCGUAAAGCGCCUGUAGGUUGUUUAAUAAGUCUGUUGUUAAAGACUAGGGCUUAACCCUAGGAAAGCAAUGGAAACUACUAGACCUGAGUAUGAUAGGGGUAGAGGGAAUUUCUAGUGUAGCGGUGAAAUGCGUAGAUAUUAGAAAGAACACCGGUGGCGAAGGCGCUCUACUGGAUCAUUACUGACACUCAGAGGCGAAAGCUAGGGUAGCAAAAGGGAUUAGAUACCCCUGUAGUCCUAGCCGUAAACGAUGGAUACUACGUGUUGCGUUUUUUAAUGCAGUUGGU
RNAcentral lists this ribosomal RNA (745 nucleotides) under uncultured bacterium. RNAcentral's name for it is "bacterial SSU rRNA". It matches the Rfam family "Bacterial small subunit ribosomal RNA", at positions 56 to 848 of the family's 1533-position model. The record is from RNAcentral.